AACCCAUGAUGUGGGCAACUCCUGAGUAACUCUUGGAAUCUUUCCCAGGCUUCUGAAGAGUUCUCUUGUUCAUUUUGAGUGAAGUUGCUAAUGUCCUUUUGAAGCU
Non-coding RNA from Glycine soja, 106 nucleotides. NCBI's taxonomy places the organism in Eukaryota, Viridiplantae, Streptophyta, Magnoliopsida, Fabales, Fabaceae. The record is from Rfam.